Molecule: non-coding RNA, 813 nt
Organism: Phascolarctos cinereus (koala)
Lineage: Eukaryota; Metazoa; Chordata; Mammalia; Diprotodontia; Phascolarctidae
Source: RefSeq, a predicted model, not a curated record
UUCAAUUCCCACAAUUAACUGUUUGCUGUUCUAAUCAUAUCAAUUCCCUCUCCAGGUUUGUAACCUUGAUGUUAUCCUUGACUUUUCUCUCCCACACCCCACAUGUCAAAUUAUUUGCUAGACUGAUUCAUGUAUUAAGACAUCAAAAGACUUUCUAUGUGACUUUAAUUGUGAACAUAUUGGGAAGGUCAGAUGGUAUUGGACAUUUCCAGUGAUGCAACAUCCAAGGAACCAAAACCAGGGUUGGAGACGUGUGGAAGAAGUUUAUUUUGAAAUCUGAAUACCCAGACUUUGGCCUUUUGGUUUACACGGUAAUGUUAUGGGUCCUUACUUUGCCUUUUGUGCUGUGGUGGAUGGUAUUCAAUAUAAAACUGGACUGGGACAAAAUAAAAAAGAGUCUAGAUCCAAUGUGGCCAAGCUCGCUCUUGAUGAGCUUUUGCAGUUGGAUGAUCCUGAGCCAAGGAAUGUAGAAGCCUCAGCUCUCUAGGCUUGCCCAUUUUGGCCUCAAGCCCCUAAUGAACCUAGAUAGAGCUUCCAAAAUGACUAUGUCCUUCCUGUAUGAUUCCCUAUGAUGGCCUAUAUUGAGCUGAUUCUCCAAAAUGGUGAUGUCAUGAGCUAUGAGGAACAACACCAGAGAGUUAGAAAUUGUGGAGAAGCAACCAGAAAGCUUUGGCUGUCGGAUCACCAAAAACCAUGAAAAAAGCCUUAGCUGCAAAGUAGGCUCAGCUGUUGUCCCACCAAAGAUUUGUUGUAAUAAAUGAACAUACUCUUGUAUUACUAUUUUUCAUGUGUAUGUAGAUGUUAUGAUUAAUA